AGAAACUUAGGAUAAAUUAGACCAAGGGCCUUCAAAGCCCCAAGUAGAAGUUAAAAUCUUCUAGUUUCUG
RNAcentral lists this transfer RNA (70 nucleotides) under Microhyla beilunensis. RNAcentral describes it as "tRNA-Trp". It matches the Rfam family "tRNA". From Rfam's summary of the family: Transfer RNA (tRNA) molecules are approximately 80 nucleotides in length. Their secondary structure includes four short double-helical elements and three loops (D, anti-codon, and T loops). Lineage: Eukaryota; Metazoa; Chordata; Amphibia; Anura; Microhylidae. The record is from RNAcentral.